GAACUUACCCAGCAAGGGAGGUAGCAUGUUCACAAAAGGGGUUUUCCUAAGGGUGAGACUCUUCCAUUGCACUCCAGAUAUGGUGACCCCUGGGAUUUCCCCAAAUGUGCAUUAUGUGUGGCAGUGAGGAGAGGGGACCUUA
This 142-nucleotide small nuclear RNA is filed under the name Octodon degus (degu). Its description in RNAcentral is "U1 spliceosomal RNA (ENSODEG00000021035.1)". It matches the Rfam family "U1 spliceosomal RNA". From Rfam's summary of the family: U1 is a small nuclear RNA (snRNA) component of the spliceosome (involved in pre-mRNA splicing). Its 5' end forms complementary base pairs with the 5' splice junction, thus defining the 5' donor site of an intron. The record is from RNAcentral. Lineage: Eukaryota; Metazoa; Chordata; Mammalia; Rodentia; Octodontidae.